UACGUAGGGUGCAAGCGUUGUCCGGAAUUAUUGGGCGUAAAGAGCGUGUAGGCGGCCCGACCAGUCCGCUGUGAAAGUCCAGGGCUCAACCCUGGAAUGCCGGUGGAUACUGUCGGGCUAGAGUCCGGAAUGGGCGAGUGGAAUUCCUGGUGUAGCGGUGAAAUGCGCAGAUAUCAGGAGGAACACCAAUGGCGAAGGCAGCUCGCUGGGACGUGACUGACGCUGAGACGCGAAAGCGUGGGGGGCAAACAGG
RNAcentral lists this ribosomal RNA (253 nucleotides) under uncultured bacterium. Its description in RNAcentral is "partial 16S ribosomal RNA". It matches the Rfam family "Bacterial small subunit ribosomal RNA", at positions 524 to 776 of the family's 1533-position model. The record is from RNAcentral.